AUUGAACGCUGGCGGCAUGCCUUACACAUGCAAGUCGAACGGCAGCACGGGUGCUUGCACCUGGUGGCGAGUGGCGAACGGGUGAGUAAUAUAUCGGAACGUACCUUAUUGUGGGGGAUAACGCAGCGAAAGCUGUGCUAAUACCGCAUAAUCCCUUAGGGGGAAAGCGGGGGACCGUAAGGCCUCGCGCAAUUAGAGCGGCCGAUACCUGAUUAGCUAGUUGGUGAGGUAAAGGCUCACCAAGGCGACGAUCAGUGGCUGGUCUGAGAGGACGAGCAGGCACACUGGAACUGCGACACGGCCCGGACUCCUACGGGAGGCAGCAGUGGGGAAUUUUGGACAAUGGGGGCAACCCUGAUCCAGCAAUGCCGCGUGAGUGAAGAAGGCCUUCGGGUUGUAAAGCUCUUUUGUCAGGGAAGAAACAGCAGCUCUAACACAGUAUGCGAAUGACGGUACCUGAAGAAUAAGCACCGGCUAACUACGUGCCAGCAGCCGCGGUAA
This 501-nucleotide ribosomal RNA is filed under the name uncultured bacterium. Its description in RNAcentral is "partial 16S ribosomal RNA". It matches the Rfam family "Bacterial small subunit ribosomal RNA", at positions 30 to 523 of the family's 1533-position model. The record is from RNAcentral.